This 169-nucleotide small nuclear RNA is filed under the name Jaculus jaculus (lesser Egyptian jerboa). Its description in RNAcentral is "U2 spliceosomal RNA (ENSJJAG00000004469.1)". It matches the Rfam family "U2 spliceosomal RNA". From Rfam's summary of the family: U2 is a small nuclear RNA (snRNA) component of the spliceosome (involved in pre-mRNA splicing). Complementary binding between U2 snRNA (in an area lying towards the 5' end but 3' to hairpin I) and the branchpoint sequence (BPS) of the intron results the bulging out of an unpaired adenosine, on the BPS, which initiates a nucleophilic attack at the intronic 5' splice site, thus starting the first of two transesterification reactions that mediate splicing. Lineage: Eukaryota; Metazoa; Chordata; Mammalia; Rodentia; Dipodidae. The record is from Rfam by way of RNAcentral.
AAUUCUUCCCUUGCUUUUAGCCUAAGAUCAAGUAUAGUAUCUAUUCAUGUCAGCUUAAUAUCUUAUUUGUCUUUUCUAUAAAGAUAGCAUAUUAAAUGAAUUUUUGGAGCAGGGAGAUGUCUACUCCCCUCAUCAACCUGAUAUUGACUCCAGGAAUAGUGCACCUCGU